GAUGAACGCUGGCGGCGUGCCUAAUACAUGCAAGUCGAGCGAACGGACGAGAAGCUUGCUUCUCUGAUGUUAGCGGCGGACGGGUGAGUAACACGUGGAUAACCUACCUAUAAGACUGGGAUAACUUCGGGAAACCGUAGCUAAUACCGGAUAAUAUUUUGAACCGCAUGGUUCAAAAGUGAAAGACGGUCUUGCUUUCACUUAUAGAUGGAUCCGCGCUGCAUUAGCUAGUUGGUAAGGUAACUGCUUACCAAGGCAACGAUGCAUAGCCGACCUGAGAGGGUGAUCGGACACACUGGAACUGAGACACGGUCCAGACUCCUACGGGAGGCCGCAGUAGGGACUCUUCCGCAAUGGGCGAGAGCCUGACGGAGCAACGCCGCGUGAGUGAUGAAGGUCUUCGGAUCGUAGAGCUCUGUUAUUCGGGAAGAACAUAUGUGUAAGUAACUGUGCACAUCUUGACGGUACCUAAUCAGAAAGCCACGGCUAACUACGUG
This 497-nucleotide ribosomal RNA is filed under the name uncultured bacterium. Its description in RNAcentral is "partial 16S ribosomal RNA". It matches the Rfam family "Bacterial small subunit ribosomal RNA", at positions 28 to 507 of the family's 1533-position model. The record is from RNAcentral.